This 821-nucleotide long non-coding RNA is filed under the name Gallus gallus (chicken). RNAcentral describes it as "long non-coding RNA NONGGAT004275". The record is from RNAcentral. Lineage: Eukaryota; Metazoa; Chordata; Aves; Galliformes; Phasianidae.
GCCGCGGCUCCCCGUGCCCGCACCGCCCGCCACUGCCUCCGCACGCCGCGGCACUGCCCGCCGCCCCUCGGCCCUUCUCCCGCCCCAGGGCCCGCCGCUCUCUCCCGGUCCCUGCACCGCACGCAUCCCGCACGGCCGUUACCUGCCGCCCACAGACACUGCUGCCGCCCACCCAUCGCUGCCAUGUUGACAGGAGACCGGGCACGGCCGGAAGGGGAAACGGCACGGCGCCGCGCCGACCUUCCCUCACUGCGCAUGGGCGAGGGGGCGGGCGGUGCGGCGCAGUUUCUGCUAUUGGCGUAACGGCGGUCCGUGGUGGCCUCUGUCUGUGUCUUUCAGGGCCCUGGAGAGCAGCUCUUGGGAGGUGGAAGAAGAAGAAGAGGAGGGAAUCCUGACGUCCUAGCAUGAUGUCUGGGUGGAGCUUGGUGUGCGUCCGCUGCCUUGUCGCAGAUGGAAAGCUUCUGCCUGUUUGCGAGGAUGUUCACUGCCUAGCUGGGCAGGACUCAGCAGAACCUUCUGAAAAACUUGGCACUGUGAUGUCCCAGCAGAUCGUUGUGCUCUGAUUGACUAAAAACAUUGUUCCCAUUCCUUGAAACAUGAAUUUCAACGUAUCUGUACCAUCCAGAGGUCUUUGAUGGAUAGAAUCCCAUACUCAACCACUUACUGUUAAAUCAGCAACCCUCCAUCACGUUUACGAAAAACACAGGCUUGCACUAAUAUCAAUUUUAUUGUUCUCCUCUUUUCCCAUCCUCUGCUGGCUUGCUUUCAGCGCAGAUUUGCAGAUCCUGGAAGGGCAAGUAAUCCAGCUAAGAAACCUUGGG